GCAUGCGGGUGCUAUACAUGCAGUCGAGCGAACAGAUGAGAAGCUUGCUUCUCUGAUGUUAGCGGCGGACGGGUGAGUAACACGUGGGUAACCUACCUAUAAGACUGGGAUAACUCCGGGAAACCGGGGCUAAUACCGGAUAAUAUUUUGAACCGCAUGGUUCAAUAGUGAAAGACGGUUUCGGCUGUCACUUAUAGAUGGACCCGCGCCGUAUUAGCUAGUUGGUAAGGUAACGGCUUACCAAGGCGACGAUACGUAGCCGACCUGAGAGGGUGAUCGGCCACACUGGAACUGAGACACGGUCCAGACUCCUACGGGAGGCAGCAGUAGGGAAUCUUCCGCAAUGGGCGAAAGCCUGACGGAGCAACGCCGCGUGAGUGAUGAAGGUCUUCGGAUCGUAAAACUCUGUUGUUAGGGAAGAACAAAUUUGUUAGUAACUGAACAAGUCUUGACGGUACCUAACCAGAAAGCCACGGCUAACUACGUGCCAGCAGCCGCGGUAAUACGUAGGUGGCAAGCGUUAUCCGGAAUUAUUGGGCGUAAAGCGCGCGUAGGCGGUUUCUUAAGUCUGAUGUGAAAGCCCACGGCUCAACCGUGGAGGGUCAUUGGAAACUGGGAAACUUGAGUGCAGAAGAGGAGAGUGGAAUUCCAUGUGUAGCGGUGAAAUGCGCAGAGAUAUGGAGGAACACCAGUGGCGAAGGCGGCUCUCUGGUCUGUAACUGACGCUGAUGUGCGAAAGCGUGGGGAUCAAACAGGAUUAGAUACCCUGGUAGUCCACGCCGUAAACGAUGAGUGCUAAGUGUUAGGGGGUUUCCGCCCCUUAGUGCUGCAGCUAACGCAUUAAGCACUCCGCCUGGGGAGUACGACCGCAAGGUUGAAACUCAAAGGAAUUGACGGGGACCCGCACAAGCGGUGGAGCAUGUGGUUUAAUUCGAAGCAACGCGAAGAACCUUACCAAAUCUUGACAUCCUUUGACCGCUCUAGAGAUAGAGUCUUCCCCUUCGGGGGACAAAGUGACAGGUGGUGCAUGGUUGUCGUCAGCUCGUGUCGUGAGAUGUUGGGUUAAGUCCCGCAACGAGCGCAACCCUUAAGCUUAGUUGCCAUCAUUAAGUUGGGCACUCUAGGUUGACUGCCGGUGACAAACCGGAGGAAGGUGGGGAUGACGUCAAAUCAUCAUGCCCCUUAUGAUUUGGGCUACACACGUGCUACAAUGGAUAAUACAAAGGGCAGCGAAUCCGCGAGGCCAAGCAAAUCCCAUAAAAUUAUUCUCAGUUCGGAUUGUAGUCUGCAACUCGACUACAUGAAGCUGGAAUCGCUAGUAAUCGUAGAUCAGCAUGCUACGGUGAAUACGUUCCCGGGUCUUGUACACACCGCCCGUCACACCACGAGAGUUUGUAACACCCGAAGCCGGUGGAGUAACCUUUUAGGAGCUAGCCGUCGAAGGGGACAAAG
This 1452-nucleotide ribosomal RNA is filed under the name Mammaliicoccus sp. RNAcentral's name for it is "bacterial SSU rRNA". It matches the Rfam family "Bacterial small subunit ribosomal RNA". The record is from RNAcentral. Lineage: Bacteria; Bacillati; Bacillota; Bacilli; Caryophanales; Staphylococcaceae.